GCUUGCUCCCUUCACCCCAAGCAGGUUCAGGCAUGCUGAUUGAGAUGCAAGCUGAGUACCUCCUCCAACAGUACCAACCUCGAUAGAAGGCAUAGUCACAGAGACAUGAAGAUCCUGUCCAUCAUUAACAGCUUCCAUCAUGGUGAUGCAGUUAGAACUCUCUACGUUCUGUGCUGGAUCUUGGCCGGUUGCUAUGUAAAUUGCAGUCACUAUGUUACUGGCAUGAGCAUU
Molecule: unclassified non-coding RNA, 231 nt
Filed under: Hevea brasiliensis (rubber tree)
Lineage: Eukaryota; Viridiplantae; Streptophyta; Magnoliopsida; Malpighiales; Euphorbiaceae
Source: RNAcentral